Molecule: long non-coding RNA, 1900 nt
Filed under: Cicer arietinum (chickpea)
Lineage: Eukaryota; Viridiplantae; Streptophyta; Magnoliopsida; Fabales; Fabaceae
Description: long non-coding RNA (CARI_LNC000858)
Source: RNAcentral
GUGGGCGAACAUUAUUUUUGGCCAUAGGCUGCUGCAUAAUCAGGCUGUUGCUGAUCAUGUACUAAGAUGCUGGUUUUGGUUGCUGUCAUACCAACUCCUUGAGUCUAUAAGCUGCUGUCACAUACCAGAAAUUGGUUCCUGUCACACUUCUCAUCAAGAUGCUGGUUGAUAUCACAUGUAUAGGGCUAUAUUAACCAUUGUGUUCCCUUUUGGUUAUGGACAAUUUUAUUCGUCAAAUACUUGGUUUAUUUCCCUUAGGAGGUCAUAGAUCUACAGUACACGUGUAUCAUGGUGAUAAACCUAUAGUACAUGUGUAUCGUAGGAGACAGAAGAAUGGGAAAGAAAAGACUGGUAAUGGGCCUAUGGAGCAAGAAAGGGACGGAGUUAAAGAUACAAAGCUUAUGGAGAAGUUGGCUACUUUUAUGAAGGAGGCAGAAGUUGGGAAUAGAAGAACAACUGCUGGGACAGAUGGCAGCAGCAGAAUAGAGGGAGUUCGAAAGAGUGGGGAAAAGCCAUAUAUGGAAGAUAACAGAUAACAGAAUAGGGGGUAUCAAAUGGUGUAAGUGGGAAUUGUGGGUACUGGGAAUAGGAUUUACCUAACUCGGUAAUAGGGUGUGCUCUUUGUUAUAGUUUCCAUUAUCAUCUCUUCAAGGAGGUUCUCUCCAUUCAUCUUUAUAUUUCAGUAAUUAUAACCAUUAAUACAAAGGUCAUAUUCUCUGGUGUAAUCCCUUUUCAUAAUUUCCCUAUUUGUGUUCAGUUCUAUUAGGAGAGUUGGACAAAAUACAUCAACACUUUUGCUUAUAAAUAGAAAAUGAGGGAGUACUAAUAUAGUGAUUAGGCUUAUUAAAUAAAUUAACAGAUUCCAUUUCUAUUGAUCGGGAUACAUGGGUUGCAUAGUGUUCUGGAUUUGGUCUCAGCUCAACUGCGUUCAGAUAGGCUGAUAGCAAGGGUGGGUAGCCCAAUUCCCAAAUUUCUAGUAAGAAGUUUUCAAUAGCCAAGCACAUACAGAUUGAGAGAGGCAUGACGGACAACUGAAUAACUGUCUGGAAGUUCCCAAGUAACUCCAUAAUAACUGAUGAUGCUGUUAGAUACUCGACCAUAUCACUAUAUAAAUAAAAUAACAUCUUGAGUCGAGGUGCAAAUUCAUUCUCAGUCAUCCUUAUCACUCCUAUAUGCUUACUAACAUGAUCAUCGGAAUCUCUGCAGGUGGCCACCAAUGUCAUUUUCUGCUGUCACGAUCCAUCAUCUCUACUCAUCCUCUUGCAGUUCAAUUGAUCUAAUCCUUAAGCACACUGAGAUUCCCUCUUUCUUGCAUACCCUUUGAGAUUAUACUGAAGGCGUACUAUAUGCAGAACAUACUCUGAAUAAACUUGGUCUAAACAAGUGAGAGGGAGGGAAGAAGAAUUAAAUUCCCCCCCACUCACCUACCCAAAAAAAGCACAAGUAUCUUCCAAGUUACAAUUACUAAUUAGCACAUUACACAAUUCACAAGCCUGAUUUGUUAGUUUCUGCCAAGUUACAUUUACUUUUCAUCAGCAAUAUAUUCUAAUGCACCACAAGUAUCCACAUUUUAAAGCAUUAAAAUCUAUCUACCAACAAUUCAUAUUGAAAGUGUGGCUAGAGUUCAACACUGACACUCGUGAUUACAUUCAAUCACUUUCAUUUUUUAUGUCAUUACCGGUGUCUACAUAUCAAUCUCACUGUUUACACGUGAUUACGUCCUAUGUUUGUGUAUGUGCUUCGUAGAUUACUAUCACAAAUGACCUACUGCUUAUUGUUAUAUUCACAGCAAAACAAAACUUGUUACACUUGCACGCCACCAAAUAACUUAUUUUAAGAAAUGUAUUUUGAUUAAUUCAACGAUUACUAAGACGAGAAAUAUGAUUAUGAAGAAUAAAAA